RNAcentral lists this transfer RNA (76 nucleotides) under Desulfobacteraceae bacterium. Its description in RNAcentral is "tRNA-Val". It matches the Rfam family "tRNA". From Rfam's summary of the family: Transfer RNA (tRNA) molecules are approximately 80 nucleotides in length. Lineage: Bacteria; Pseudomonadati; Thermodesulfobacteriota; Desulfobacteria; Desulfobacterales; Desulfobacteraceae. The record is from RNAcentral.
GGGCGAUUAACUCAGCGGUAAGAGUGCUACCUUCACACGGUAGAAGUCACAGGUUCGAAUCCCGUAUCGCCCACCA